UGGGGAAUAUUGGACAAUGGGCGCAAGCCUGAUCCAGCCAUGCCGCGUGCAGGAUGACGGUCCUAUGGAUUGUAAACUGCUUUUGUACAGGAAGAAACAGUUCUACGUGUAGAACCUUGACGGUACUGUAAGAAUAAGGAUCGGCUAACUCCGUGCCAGCAGCCGCGGUAAUACGGAGGAUCCAAGCGUUAUCCGGAAUCAUUGGGUUUAAAGGGUCCGUAGGCGGUUAGAUAAGUCAGUGGUGAAAGCCCAUCGCUCAACGGUGGAACGGCCAUUGAUACUGUCUGACUUGAAUUAUUAGGAAGUAACUAGAAUAUGUAGUGUAGCGGUGAAAUGCUUAGAGAUUACAUGGAAUACCAAUUGCGAAGGCAGGUUACUACUAAUGGAUUGACGCUGAUGGACGAAAGCGUGGGUAGCGAACAGGAUUAGAUACCCCGUAGUCCCUGAGCGGGCUGGCAAGGCGCAU
RNAcentral lists this ribosomal RNA (466 nucleotides) under uncultured bacterium. Its description in RNAcentral is "bacterial SSU rRNA". It matches the Rfam family "Bacterial small subunit ribosomal RNA", at positions 355 to 825 of the family's 1533-position model. The record is from RNAcentral.